AUUGGUAAGUUUUAUACAACAUUUCAAAAAGAAAUAUACUUCAUAAUAAUGAAUUUAACUAAGGCCCUUAUUAUGAGUUGCAUUCGAUCUUCGCUAUUCGCUGGCUAUCGAAAAUCGAAUGUCAAAUUGGUAUUAUGAGCUAUGCAACCCUGUCGAAGUUUUCGUUGAGCAUCGAAAUGGCUGUCGAACAGAAUUUACCUAUCGACAGCGUAGCGUAGUGAAUGGAAAUUUGUGAAAAUGUCGAAAGUCGUGAGCACUAAACAGCAAUUGGAAAAACUGGUAGCUUUAAUGGAAGAAAAUCCACAAUUUGCGAGAGGUAUUUGCACCAAAGUUCAGGCGGCAACAAAAUGGGAGGGAUUUGCUUUGGAGCUAAACUCUUUGGGUCCACCUUCAGAACUUGUAAAAGGUGUCAUCAAAUAAGUUUUCAGAGCGUAUCCAGCGUCUCAUAUUCAGAAAAAAAAUUUAUUCUAAAAAAUAUAACGUUCUGCUUUUUUAGUCAAACAUAUAUGUAUCAAGUAGCCAAGUAUUGCGAAGACCAUUUUCGACUUGCUGUUCUAAAUAUGCUUUCAAUGCUGACAUGUUGAAAAUCAUUGAAUCAUGCGUUGCCUCCGGAUUCUUUGCAUUUAUAUACCGUAUGUUCAUUGUAUAAUCACAAACCUGUAAUUAAUAUAAAAGCCAAAAAUGCUCAACUACAAAUUUA
Long non-coding RNA from Bactrocera latifrons, 700 nucleotides. RefSeq lists it as uncharacterized. The record is from RefSeq and is a predicted model, not a curated record. The transcript is spliced from 2 exons. NCBI's taxonomy places the organism in Eukaryota, Metazoa, Arthropoda, Insecta, Diptera, Tephritidae.